Molecule: transfer RNA, 72 nt
Filed under: [Torrubiella] hemipterigena
Lineage: Eukaryota; Fungi; Ascomycota; Sordariomycetes; Hypocreales; Clavicipitaceae
Description: Torrubiella hemipterigena tRNA
Rfam family: tRNA
About the family: Transfer RNA (tRNA) molecules are approximately 80 nucleotides in length. Their secondary structure includes four short double-helical elements and three loops (D, anti-codon, and T loops).
Source: Rfam by way of RNAcentral
GGUCGAAUCGUAUAAUGGUUAGUACAUAUCCUUCACACGGAUAAGACCCGGGUUCAAUUCCCGGUUUGACCU